RNAcentral lists this ribosomal RNA (1456 nucleotides) under uncultured Bordetella sp. Its description in RNAcentral is "partial 16S-23S ribosomal RNA intergenic spacer". It matches the Rfam family "Bacterial small subunit ribosomal RNA". Lineage: Bacteria; Pseudomonadati; Pseudomonadota; Betaproteobacteria; Burkholderiales; Alcaligenaceae. The record is from RNAcentral.
UGUAUCGAACGCCAUGGGAUGCUUUACACAUGCAAGUCGAACGGCAGCACGUGACUUCGGUCUGGUGGCGAGUGGCGAACGGGUGAGUAAUGUAUCGGAACGUGCCUAGUAGCGGGGGAUAACUACGCGAAAGCGUAGCUAAUACCGCAUACACCCUCGGGGAAAGCGGGGACCUGGGCCGCACUAUUAGAGCGGCCGAUAUCGGAUUAGCUAGUUGCGGGGUGCAACGGCUCACCAAGGCGACGAUCCGUAGCUGGUUUGAGAGGACGACCAGCCACACUGGGACUGAGACACGGCCCAGACUCCUACGGGAGGCAGCAGUGGGGAAUUUUGGACAAUGGGGGAAACCUGAUCCAGCCAUCCCGCGUGUGCGAUGGAGCCGCCUUCGGGUUGUAAAGCACUUUUGGCAGGAAAGAAACGGCACGGGAUAAUACCCCGUGCAACUGACGGUACCUGCAGAAUAAGCACCGGCUAACUACGCCAGCAGCCGCGGUAAUACGUAGGGUGCAAGCGUUAAUCGGAAUUACUGGGCGUAAGCGUGCGCAGGCGGUUCGGAAAGAAAGAUGUGAAAUCCCAGAGCUUAACUUUGAACUGCAUUUAACUACCGGAGCUAGAGUGUGUCAGAGGGAGGUGGAAUUCCGCGUAGCAGUGAAAUGCGUAGAUAUGCGGAGGAACACCGAUGGCGAAGGCAGCCUCUGGGAUAACACUGACGCUCAUGCACGAAAGCGUGGGGAGCAAACAGGAUUAUUGACCUGGUAGUCCACGCCCUAAACGAUGUCAACUAGCCGUUGGGGCCUUCGGGCUCUGGUAGCGCAGCUAACGCGUGAAGUUGACCGCCUGGGGAAAAUUUCUGCCUGCAAGAUUAAAACCUGCAAAGGAACGACGGGACCCGCACAAGCGGUGGAUGAUGUGGAUUAAUUCGAUGCAACGCGAAAAACCUUACCUACCCUUGACAUGUCUGGAAUCCCGAAGAGAUUUGGGAGUGCUCGCAAGAGAACCGGAACACAGGUGCUGCAUGGCUGUCGUCAGCUCGUGUCGAGAUGUUGGGUUAAGUCCCGCAACGAGCGGCAACCCUGUCAUUAGUUGCUACGAAAGGGCACUCGAAUGAGACUGCCGGUGACAAACCGGAGGAAGGUGGGGAUGACGUCAAGUCCUCAUGGCCCUUAUGGGUAGGGCUUCACACGUCAUACAAUGGUCGGGACAGAGGGUCGCCAACCCGCGAGGGGGAGCCAAUCCCAGAAACCCGAUCGUAGUCCGGAUCGCAGUUCGCAACUCGACUGCGUGAAGUCGGAAUCGCUAGUAAUCGCGGAUCAGCAUGUCGCGGUGAAUACGUUCCGGGUCUUGUACACACCGCCCGUCACACCAUGGGAGUGCUACCAGAAGCAGCGAGCUUCAACUGCAAGGAGGGCGAUUACCACGGUAGGAUUCAUGACUGGGGUGAAGUCGAACAAGGUAG